Long non-coding RNA from Arabidopsis lyrata subsp. lyrata, 716 nucleotides. RefSeq lists it as uncharacterized. NCBI's taxonomy places the organism in Eukaryota, Viridiplantae, Streptophyta, Magnoliopsida, Brassicales, Brassicaceae. The record is from RefSeq and is a predicted model, not a curated record. The transcript is spliced from 3 exons.
ACUCCUUUUAAACUAAGGAACGUUCCUUAGUUAAGGAACGUUCCUUCUGUUUUUUUUUCUCUCUCUCUUUCACGAGUGUUGUCGGAGUGUUGUUCUUCUUCCACUGAAAUUCACAAGAUUUCCGAUUAUUUUCAACAAAUCAGAGUGAAGCUUUCCCCAAUCGGUUUGUCAUGGUAAGGGAAACAGUUUUGUUGCAUUGUGGAUUUUUUAAUGCUAAUGGGGGAUUUUGGAUUUUGGAUAAGGAUAAGAGGUUUAUGCAAACAUGUGAAGUUGUAGUCUCGACGUGUGCUUUUGGUGGUGGAGAUAAAAUCUUUAUGAACCUAUUGGAAUGUCUAAGGCAUCAAGUCACAAGGUUUGCUAUGUUGCGUUUUGGGAUGAAGUUACUCUUGCAAUACAAGAAGCAGAGGGGUCAUAAGAUCAAUGAGAAUGAUCACAUUGGAAAGUGGCGUAUAGUGAUUGUAAAGGAUAUGCCGUUUACAGACCAAAGGCUUACUUUCUUUUUUCAAGUGAGUUAUUAGAGUUGUUGAAUGUGUAAGAGAGUCGAGCUCAUGUUUGUAAGUUUAGUCUAAUCUCUAGAAGUCUAAGUGUGUGUAGUUAGUAGAAGAGUAACUAACUACUAUAAGAAUGCUAUGUGUGUGAUGUUGUAUAGAGCUCAAAUUCCACACACUAAAGAUACCAUGAUACUAACAAGAAGCAACAAUUCAAAAAUUUUGGUC